GUACUCGCUUCGGCGGAACAUAUGCUAAAAUUGGACCCAUAGGAAGAAGAGUAGCUUGGCCUCUGCGCAAGGAUGAUACGCAAAAUUGUGCAAAAAGUGGUA
Schistocerca serialis cubense is the source of this 102-nucleotide small nuclear RNA. Lineage: Eukaryota; Metazoa; Arthropoda; Insecta; Orthoptera; Acrididae. The record is from RefSeq and is a predicted model, not a curated record.